RNAcentral lists this ribosomal RNA (579 nucleotides) under Purpureocillium lilacinum. RNAcentral's name for it is "partial large subunit ribosomal RNA". It matches the Rfam family "Eukaryotic large subunit ribosomal RNA", at positions 64 to 670 of the family's 3401-position model. The record is from RNAcentral. Lineage: Eukaryota; Fungi; Ascomycota; Sordariomycetes; Hypocreales; Ophiocordycipitaceae.
ACCCAGGGCCAUGCCCAGUACGGCGAGUGAAGCGGCAACAGCUCAAAUUUGAAAUCUGGCCCCCAGGGCCCGAGUUGUAAUUUGCAGAGGAUGCUUUUGGCGCGGUGCCUUCCGAGUUCCCUGGAACGGGACGCCAUAGAGGGUGAGAGCCCCGUCUGGUCGGACGCCUAGCCUGUGUAAAGCUCCUUCGACGAGUCGAGUAGUUUGGGAAUGCUGCUCUAAAUGGGAGGUAUAUGUCUUCUAAAGCUAAAUACCGGCCAGAGACCGAUAGCGCACAAGUAGAGUGAUCGAAAGAUGAAAAGCACUUUGAAAAGAGGGUUAAAUAGUACGUGAAAUUGUUGAAAGGGAAGCGCUUGUGACCAGACUUGGGCCCGGUGGAUCAUCCAGCGUUCUCGCUGGUGCACUCCGCCGGGUUCAGGCCAGCAUCAGUUCGCCGCGGGGGAAAAAGGCUUCGGGAACGUGGCUCCUACGGGAGUGUUAUAGCCCGUUGCAUAAUACCCUGGGGCGGACUGAGGUUCGCGCUCCGCAAGGAUGCUGGCGUAAUGGUCAUCAGCGACCCGUCUUGAAAACCGGACCAAA